AGGAUGAAGAUGGAGAUUGGUACGAGACUGGGCUUCAUAUAUUUUUUGGAGCUUAUCCCAACAUACAGAAUCUGUUUGGCGAGCUUAGGAUUGAGGAUCGUUUACAGUGGAAAGAACACUCUAUGAUAUUCGCCAUGCCAAACAAGCCAGGAGAAUUCAGCCGGUUUGAUUUCCCAGAAACUUUGCCAGCACCUAUAAAUGGGAUAUGGGCCAUAUUGAGAAACAAUGAAAUGCUUACUUGGCCGGAGAAGGUGAAGUUUGCAAUCGGACUUCUGCCAGCAAUGGUUGGUGGUCAACCUUAUGUUGAAGCUCAAGAUGGCUUAACCGUUUCAGAAUGGAUGAAAAAGCAGGUAUGAGUUAAAUAUGC
Zea mays is the source of this 367-nucleotide long non-coding RNA. RefSeq lists it as uncharacterized. The record is from RefSeq and is a predicted model, not a curated record. The transcript has 3 exons. NCBI's taxonomy places the organism in Eukaryota, Viridiplantae, Streptophyta, Magnoliopsida, Poales, Poaceae.